This 1527-nucleotide long non-coding RNA is filed under the name Salvator merianae (Argentine black and white tegu). RNAcentral describes it as "lncRNA (ENSSMRG00000007746.1)". The record is from RNAcentral. Lineage: Eukaryota; Metazoa; Chordata; Lepidosauria; Squamata; Teiidae.
CGCGGGCCGCCGCAGCCCGGCCUCGGCUUGCGACGCUCGCGGCGAGACGCCGCCGGUGCAGCUGCACCAGCGCUUGGGCUCGGGGGGCCCUGGGCGUCUGGGCCCGUCCGGGACUCCUCGCGCCGGCUCGGGGGGGGGUUCGUGUUCUCGGCCAGUCCCUUUUGCCAAAAGGAAGGGGGCGCUACAAGCCUCUGGAGGCGCCCGGCUAAGGAUGGAGGAGAAGGCGUGGAGGGGAGCGCGCGCCGGCCGCUCGGACGCGGUGGACACGUGGGGCGCCCGCACUUCUGCAGACAAGCAGCUGACACUCCCAGGCCAGAAAGCGGAGCCGUGGAUGCGAAGGCUGGCGACAGGAAAGCGCCCAGAGCAAGCCAGUCUGCAGAUGCCGCCUACCUGCCCCCNGUGCUGCUGAUUCCAGGGUUUUGCCCCGAUUCUGCGGGAAUUUAUUAUGCACAGUGUCAGGAUUCGCUUUGCGAUUCUGGAAGGGCUUCCAGUCGCAUAAAACGUCCCUGGGAGCAAUGGCAGCGUGGGGCGCCAGGGCUUGAAAAGAGCAAGGAGCACAAACAGGACCAGUUUGGGUGCAGAAGAAAUGCAAGCCAGUGGAUACCUCAGGAGCCCCCCGCAUUUCUGCAAGGAACGCCGGGUCAGCCUGUUGCGCACAGCUGGGAAGCCGCUGCCUCNGUGUCAGUUCAGGACACGUUUCUCGGCACCCUGCAGUCAGGUGGGGCAGUGACAUGUCGCAGGUCCCGCCUCAGCCGCAGUCCUUGUGCCGCAGGCUCAGCCUGUGUUACUGGGGGAAGAGAAGCCCUGGCCGUCCAGGUGCAGCUGAAUCUUGGCGUGCUCCUCUGUGAUUGUGGCCGGCUGAACCUGCUGCCGAAGGGCAGGGUGAAACAUCUGAAGUGUGGGAGGUUAUACACGCCACUGCUGCAUUGUACGGGAAGAGGAGUGGCCUUUUUGAAUCCUCCCCUGUGUCAAAGUUUGCCUGCAUGUGGAAAGUUGCGUGUCACUAAAAGGAAUCUUUUCUUUGACAUGCUAGAUUUCGACAUGCAGGGAGAGUUUAAUAUGGGGAUACCACAAAGCAAGCAAUCGUCUCAGUUGCAUCCUAUGGAAAUUCAGUGUCCACUCUCCUUAGGGAGGUAGAAUACGGGCUCACAGUCAUCUUCUUAACUGACCACCUAUUUUUGCUGUUGCUGAGCUAUCUAUCAGGUCACACUUCUUGAAGGCUUUUUUCCUGUUCCCCCCCCCCCAUCAGUUUCGGAAGGUCAUGUUUUAACUCUCAGAAUGUCGUCUUUUGAAGAAGAGUAAAGGACUGGAGGGAAUGAUUGUAUUUGCCAUACAGUGUUAAAGGAGAAGAAAUGAUUUUGUAAGUAUUUUUGUAAUUUUGGAAAAGGAAGGGGGUGUCUUGUUAAUUAUCAGUUAUUUUGGAAGAUUAGAAACAUAGUUCUUAUGUAAAAAAAAAAACUGUAAAAAGCAAUAUAUCAAUAACCAGCCUCUUUCAAAUACACAAGAAUGCAGGUCAGCUGAUUGAAA